This 80-nucleotide transfer RNA is filed under the name Comamonas suwonensis. RNAcentral's name for it is "tRNA-Ile". It matches the Rfam family "tRNA". Rfam says of the family: Transfer RNA (tRNA) molecules are approximately 80 nucleotides in length. Their secondary structure includes four short double-helical elements and three loops (D, anti-codon, and T loops). Further hydrogen bonds mediate the characteristic L-shaped molecular structure. tRNAs have two regions of fundamental functional importance: the anti-codon, which is responsible for specific mRNA codon recognition, and the 3' end, to which the tRNAs corresponding amino acid is attached (by aminoacyl-tRNA synthetases). tRNAs cope with the degeneracy of the genetic code in two manners: having more than one tRNA (with a specific anti-codon) for a particular amino acid; and 'wobble' base-pairing, i.e. permitting non-standard base-pairing at the 3rd anti-codon position. Lineage: Bacteria; Pseudomonadati; Pseudomonadota; Betaproteobacteria; Burkholderiales; Comamonadaceae. The record is from RNAcentral.
GGGCCCCUAGCUCAUGCUUUGGUUAGAGCAGUCGACUCAUAAUCGAUUGGUGCUCGGUUCGACUCCGAGGGGGCCCACCA